This is a non-coding RNA of Paramuricea clavata, 321 nucleotides long. The record is from the annotation of a GenBank genome assembly. Lineage: Eukaryota; Metazoa; Cnidaria; Anthozoa; Malacalcyonacea; Plexauridae.
UAACAAAACACUUAACGUCUUUUCCCUCGGGAAAUAGUUAGUUUUGUUUUCCCUCGAAUCUCAAUGUUUCCCUCGACUUCGUUGUUUCCCUCAAGAACAUUGAGAUUCUCGGGAAAACAAAACUAACUAUUUCCCUCGGGUGCAGACAUUAAGUGUAUAAUAACAUUUAAAUGCGCAAUGCUUGAAUGUUUUUGUUAAGUUACCGCUUUGACUAUGUGGUGGACUUUUUUUAGUGCAAGAGUAUUGUACGAUGCUGGUAUACCUGUGUAGUGGGCUUAUAUUCGGGGGGCAUAUAUUCGGGUAGGCUUAUUAGGAAUGGUG